Molecule: ribosomal RNA, 492 nt
Filed under: uncultured bacterium
Lineage: Bacteria
Description: partial 16S ribosomal RNA
Rfam family: Bacterial small subunit ribosomal RNA
Source: RNAcentral
AGUGAACGCUGGCGGUAGGCCUAACACAUGCAAGUCGAACGGCAGCACAGUAAGAGCUUGCUCUUACGGGUGGCGAGUGGCGGACGGGUGAGGAAUACAUCGGAAUCUACUUUUUCGUGGGGGGUAACGUAGGGAAACUUACGCUAAUACCGCAUACGACCUACGGGUGAAAGCAGGGGAUCUUCGGACCUUGCGCGAUUGAAUGAGCCGAUGUCGGAUUAGCUAGUUGGCGGGGUAAAGGCCCACCAAGGCGACGAUCCGUAGCUGGUCUGAGAGGAUGAUCAGCCACACUGGAACUGAGACACGGCCCAGACUCCUACGGGAGGCAGCAGUGGGGAAUAUUGGACAAAGGGCGCAAGCCUGAUCCAGCCAUACCGCGUGGGUGAAGAAGGCCUUCGGGUUGUAAAGCCCUUUUGUUGGGAAAGAAAAGCAGCAGGUUAAUACCCCGCUGUUCUGACGGUACCCAAAGAAUAAGCACCGGCUAACUUCGUG